RNAcentral lists this ribosomal RNA (161 nucleotides) under Dendromecon rigida. RNAcentral describes it as "5.8S ribosomal RNA". It matches the Rfam family "5.8S ribosomal RNA". From Rfam's summary of the family: 5.8S ribosomal RNA (5.8S rRNA) is a component of the large subunit of the eukaryotic ribosome. It is transcribed by RNA polymerase I as part of the 45S precursor that also contains 18S and 28S rRNA. Lineage: Eukaryota; Viridiplantae; Streptophyta; Magnoliopsida; Ranunculales; Papaveraceae. The record is from RNAcentral.
GAACGACUCUCGGCAACGGAUAUCUCGGCUCUCGCAUCGAUGAAGAACGUAGCGAAAUGCGAUACUUGGUGUGAAUUGCAGAAUCCCGUGAACCAUCGAGUUUUUGAACGCAAGUUGCGCCCUAAGCCAUCCGGCCGAGGGCACGCCUGCCUGGGCGUCAC